CGCCGAAGCGCGAAGCCAUGAUUGAAGGGAGGUGCCCAGAUGCCCGCUAAUUGACUAAUUGAAGGAGAACAUAGCUUGAUGGCAAAAUCAAUUUCUCAGGUAUCAGAGUGAGCUCCAGAAGGCGAGUUAUACAAGUUUAAGUGGGCGGAGAUGAUGAGUAGAUAUUGAUGAGGGGAUGACGGUGAAGACGCAGUCGAGUUCAGUUGACCGUGGUGAACCUGUCAGUUUCAGUUCGCGGUGGCAAUCCCGACAAGUUGGCGAACCCGUCAAGUUCGAGCCUCGUGGCGAAGUCGAUUGGCGGGCACACCUGGUGGAGCUUUGUUUAGAAGAGGUACCAGGCUUGGCGGAGUUGUGUCAGCGGGGCGGAGCCUUUGGGCGGGUCAGCGGAUCAGCGGUACUUGUCCGGCGGAGCCUGGGACAUCAGCGGUGACCUUGAUGCUCCGUUAAGAUUUUGUUAGCGGUGGUACCUAGCUGGAGGUUGAUUGAUGGGUUGUUCAGUUGAUGCUUGAUCAAAGCUUCAUGGGUAAUGACUGAGCUUCGCUCUUCUUGACACUGAUCGAAGAAGCAGAUGGAAGCUGUCAUGGGUGUCCAAAUCAAUUCUUGGACUGGGUGUCCGUCGAUUGCGUCUGCCGCUAGUGGCAGCGCUGCUGGAGCUACCCACUGACGUUGGUGCAACAGCCUGGUAGUGGCGGAGUCGUACCUGGAGGUUGGCGGGUACUUGCUCAGCGGAGAUGGCAGACCUGGAGCUCGGCGGAGUUGGCUAGCGGGUUGUCCGGCGGAGCGGCUGUUGCUGGCGAUACUCUGCUAGCGGUCUCUAGUCCG
RNAcentral lists this long non-coding RNA (822 nucleotides) under Rosa chinensis. RNAcentral describes it as "sRNA RchiOBHm_Chr1g0363671". The record is from RNAcentral. Lineage: Eukaryota; Viridiplantae; Streptophyta; Magnoliopsida; Rosales; Rosaceae.